UACAGCGGUCUCAAGCGUUGUUCGGAUUCAUUGGGCGUAAAGGGUGCGUAGGCGGCGCGGUAAGUCGGGUGUGAAAUCUUGGAGCUUAACUCCGAAACUGCAUUCGAUACUGCCGUGCUUGAGGACUGGAGAGGAGACUGGAAUUUACGGUGUAGCGGUGAAAUGCGUAGAUAUCGUAAGGAAGACCAGUGGCGAAGGCGGGUCUCUGGACAGUUCCUGACGCUGAGGCACGAAGGCCAGGGGAGCAAACGGG
RNAcentral lists this ribosomal RNA (253 nucleotides) under uncultured bacterium. RNAcentral describes it as "partial 16S ribosomal RNA". It matches the Rfam family "Bacterial small subunit ribosomal RNA", at positions 524 to 776 of the family's 1533-position model. The record is from RNAcentral.